CCUACGGGUGGCAGCAGUGAGGAAUAUUGGUCAAUGGGCGCGAGCCUGAACCAGCCAAGUCGCGUGAGGGAUGACGGUCCUACGGAUUGUAAACCUCUUUUGCCGGGGAGCAAGCGUGCGUUCGUGAACUCGCGUCGAGAGUACCCGGAGAAAAAGCAUCGGCUAACUCCGUGCCAGCAGCCGCGGUAAUACGGAGGUUGCGAGCGUUAUCCGGUUUUAUUGGGUUUAAAGGGUGCGUAGGCGGGAUGCCAAGUCAGCGGUAAAAAUGAGGUGCUCAACGCCGUCGAGCCGUUGAAACUGGCGUGCUUGAGUGGGCGAGAAGUAUGCGGAAUGCGUGGGGUAGCGGGGAAAUGCAUAGAUAUCACGCAGAACUCCGAUUGCGAAGGCAGCAUACCGGCGCCCUACUGACGCUGAGGCACGAAAGCGUGGGUAUCGAACAGGAUUAGAUACCCGGGUAGUC
Molecule: ribosomal RNA, 460 nt
Filed under: uncultured bacterium
Lineage: Bacteria
Description: partial 16S ribosomal RNA
Rfam family: Bacterial small subunit ribosomal RNA
Source: RNAcentral